Molecule: transfer RNA, 79 nt
Filed under: Gemmatimonadota bacterium
Lineage: Bacteria; Pseudomonadati; Gemmatimonadota
Description: Gemmatimonadetes bacterium tRNA-Asp
Rfam family: tRNA
About the family: Transfer RNA (tRNA) molecules are approximately 80 nucleotides in length.
Source: RNAcentral
GGGAUCGUAGUUCAGUUUGGUUCAGAACGCCGGCCUGUCACGCCGGAGGUCGCGGGUUCGAGUCCCGUCGGUCCCGCCA